AUUGAACGCUGGCGGCAUGCCUUACACAUGCAAGUCGAACGGCAGCACGGGUGCUUGCACCUGGUGGCGAGUGGCGAACGGGUGAGUAAUACAUCGGAACGUACCUUAUCAUGGGGGAUAACGCAGCGAAAGCUGCGCUAAUACCGCAUACGCCCUGAGGGGGAAAGCGGGGGAUCGAAAGACCUCGCGCGAUUAGAGCGGCCGAUGCCUGAUUAGCUUGUUGGUGGGGUAAAAGCCCACCAAGGCGACGAUCAGUAGCUGAUCUGAGAGGACGAUCAGCCACACUGGGACUGAGACACGGCCCAGACUCCUACGGGAGGCAGCAGUGGGGAAUUUUGGACAAUGGGGGCAACCCUGAUCCAGCAAUGCCGCGUGAGUGAAGAAGGCCUUCGGGUUGUAAAGCUCUUUUGUCAGGGAAGAAACACCGGCUCUAACACAGUCCGGGAAUGACGGUACCUGAAGAAUAAGCACCGGCUAACUACGUGCCAGCCGCCGCGGUAA
This 501-nucleotide ribosomal RNA is filed under the name uncultured bacterium. Its description in RNAcentral is "partial 16S ribosomal RNA". It matches the Rfam family "Bacterial small subunit ribosomal RNA", at positions 29 to 523 of the family's 1533-position model. The record is from RNAcentral.